GAUGAACGCUGGCGGCGUGCUUAACACAUGCAAGUCGAACGAUGAAGCCCAGCUUGCUGGGUGGAUUAGUGGCGAACGGGUGAGUAACACGUGAGUAACCUGCCCUUAACUCUGGGAUAAGCCUGGGAAACUGGGUCUAAUACCGGAUAGGAGCGUCCACCGCAUGGUGGGUGUUGGAAAGAUUUAUCGGUUUUGGAUGGACUCGCGGCCUAUCAGCUUGUUGGUGAGGUAAUGGCUCACCAAGGCGACGACGGGUAGCCGGCCUGAGAGGGUGACCGGCCACACUGGGACUGAGACACGGCCCAGACUCCUACGGGAGGCAGCAGUGGGGAAUAUUGCACAAUGGGCGCAAGCCUGAUGCAGCGACGCCGCGUGAGGGAUGACGGCCUUCGGGUUGUAAACCUCUUUCAGUAGGGAAGAAGCGAAAGUGACGGUACCUGUAGAAGAAGCACCGGCUAACUACGUG
This 466-nucleotide ribosomal RNA is filed under the name uncultured bacterium. RNAcentral's name for it is "partial 16S ribosomal RNA". It matches the Rfam family "Bacterial small subunit ribosomal RNA", at positions 28 to 507 of the family's 1533-position model. The record is from RNAcentral.